Molecule: unclassified non-coding RNA, 348 nt
Filed under: soil metagenome
Description: partial contains 5.8S ribosomal RNA, internal transcribed spacer 2, and large subunit ribosomal RNA
Rfam family: 5.8S ribosomal RNA (bases 1-120)
Source: RNAcentral
GAUGAAGAACGCAGCGAAAUGCGAUAAGUAGUGUGAAUUGCAGAAUUCAGUGAAUCAUCGAAUCUUUGAACGCACAUUGCGCCCCCUGGUAUUCCGGCGGGCAUGCCUGUUCGAGCGUCAUUUCAACCCUCAAGCCCCCGGGUUUGGUGUUGGGGAUCGGCUCUGCCCUUCUGGGCGGUGCCGCCCCCGAAAUACAUUGGCGGUCUCGCUGCAGCCUCCAUUGCGUAGUAGCUAACACCUCGCAACUGGAACGCGGCGCGGCCAUGCCGUAAAACCCCAACUUCUGAAUGUUGACCUCGGAUCAGGUAGGAAUACCCGCUGAACUUAAGCAUAUCAAUAAGCGGAGGA